Sphaerobolus stellatus SS14 is the source of this 81-nucleotide non-coding RNA. Lineage: Eukaryota; Fungi; Basidiomycota; Agaricomycetes; Geastrales; Sphaerobolaceae. The record is from the annotation of a GenBank genome assembly.
GAGAACGUGGUGUAGAGGUUAGUACGUUUCAUUUGCAACCAACACUUGAAGCGGUCAGAAGUUCAACUCUCUUUGUCUCCA